RNAcentral lists this ribosomal RNA (768 nucleotides) under Oncodamus decipiens. RNAcentral describes it as "SSU rRNA". It matches the Rfam family "Eukaryotic small subunit ribosomal RNA", at positions 997 to 1793 of the family's 1831-position model. The record is from RNAcentral. Lineage: Eukaryota; Metazoa; Arthropoda; Arachnida; Araneae; Nicodamidae.
AAAGUUAGAUGAGUGAAGGCGAUCAGAUACCGCCCUAGUUCUAACCAUAAACGAUGCCAGCCAGCGAUCCGGCUGUGUUCCUCAAAUGACACGCCGGGCAGCUUCCGGGAAACCAAAGCUUUUGGGUUCCGGGGGAAGUAUGGUUGCAAAGCUGAAACUUGAAGGAAUUGACGGAAAGGCACUACCAGGAUUGGGGCCUGCGGCUUAAUUUGACUCAACGCGCGGUACUCUACCAGGUCCGGACACAGGAAGGAUUGACAGAUUGAGAGCUCUUUCUUGAUUCUGUGGGUGGUGGUGCAUGGCCGUUCGUAGUUGGUGGAGCGAUUUGUCUGGUUUAUUCCGUUAACGAGCGAGACUCUAGCCUACUAAAUAGACGAUCCGAUCAUUCAUGUCGGACGUUCUUCUUAGGGGGACAAGCGGCGUCUAGCCGCACGAGACAGAGCAAUAACAGGUCUGUUAUGCCCUUGGAUGUCCUGGGCCGCACGCGCGCCACAAUGAAGGAAUCAGCGUGUGCUUUCCCGGUCCGACAGGAUCGGGUAACCCGUUGAACCUCCUUCGUGCUUGGGAUAGGGGCUUGCAAUUAUUCCCCUUGAACGAGGAAUUCCCAGUAAGCACGAGUCAUCAUCUCGUGUUGAUUACGUCCCUGCCUUUUGUACACACCGCCCGUCGCUACUACUAAUGGAUGGCUUAGUGAGGUCUUCGGACUGGCGCUCGGAGCGGCUUUCGGGUCGUGACGGCGUGCCGGGAAGAUGACCGAACUUGACCCUM